This 1043-nucleotide ribosomal RNA is filed under the name Rana temporaria (common frog). Its description in RNAcentral is "partial 16S ribosomal RNA". It matches the Rfam family "Bacterial large subunit ribosomal RNA", at positions 856 to 2597 of the family's 2925-position model. Lineage: Eukaryota; Metazoa; Chordata; Amphibia; Anura; Ranidae. The record is from RNAcentral.
GUUCAGAAAAAGAGUUUUAGCUCUACCUUAAGUUUUCUCAUUAAACUAAACAAACCCCAAAACUUAAGAGCUAUUCAAAUAAGGCACAGCUUAUUUGAAAUAGGGCACAGCCUACAACAUAGGGUAAACAAGAGUAACUUAAAUAAAGUAGGCCUAAAAGCAGCCACCUUUAAAAAAGCGUCAAAGCUUAACCACUCCCUACUCACAAUACCUUAAAUUUUCACUAACCCCUCACUAUUACUGAAUAAUUUUAUAAUUAUAUAAAAGCUAUCAUGCUAGAACUAGUAACAAGAAAUUGCCUUUCUCCUAAAUGUAAACAUAAACCAAAAUAGACUAUCUAUUGGUUAUUAACGUAAAUGCCAAAUUAUAGCAACAUCCUCCAGAAAAUCCUAUAGCCCCCAACGUUAACCUUACACUAGAACAUUUCAGGAAAGAUUUAAAGAAAAAGAAGGAACUCGGCAAAUUUUAGCCUCGCCUGUUUACCAAAAACAUCGCCUCUUGACAAAACAUAAGAGGUCCAGCCUGCCCAGUGACAAAGUUCAACGGCCGCGGUACCCUAACCGUGCGAAGGUAGCAUAAUCACUUGUUCUUUAAAUGAGGACUCGUAUCAACGGCACUACGAGGGCUAUACUGUCUCCUUUUUCUAAUCAGUGAAACUGAUCUCCCCGUGAAGAAGCGGGGAUCAAAAUAUAAGACGAGAAGACCCCAUGGAGCUUUAAACUCACCACGCACCUCUGUGUCCUCAUACCCUUAAACACAAGAGAUCUACGUGCUAGUUUUAGGUUGGGGGGACCACGGAGUAUAACUUAACCUCCAUAACAAAUGGGCUAACACCCUUAUCCAUGAGACACAGCUCUAAGAAUUACUAAACUAAUGCUUAUGACCCGAUAUUCGAUCAAUGAACCAAGUUACCCUGGGGAUAACAGCGCAAUCUACUUCAAGAGCCCAUAUCGACAAGUAGGUUUACGACCUCGAUGUUGGAUCAGGGUAUCCCGGUGGUGCAACCGCUACCGAYGGUUCGUUUGUUCAACGAUUAAAACCCU